AAUAAACUAAUCUUUUAAUAUUUACCUAUAAUGUUUGACUCUUCGUCUUAUUUGAAAAAAAUUUACGAUUAAUAUUUUUAUUUCUAUUAGAUAAUAAAUCAUAAAUAGUAUUUUACGUGUAACUAAUUUUUUAAAUUUUUUAAAUAAGACAAAUGAUCAAACGUUGUAUACACAAACCUAAAGUUUGUCUCAUU
RNAcentral lists this microRNA precursor (194 nucleotides) under Oryza brachyantha (malo sina). Its description in RNAcentral is "MIR812 microRNA precursor family". It matches the Rfam family "MIR812 microRNA precursor family". Lineage: Eukaryota; Viridiplantae; Streptophyta; Magnoliopsida; Poales; Poaceae. The record is from Rfam by way of RNAcentral.